This is a non-coding RNA of Gymnothorax javanicus (giant moray), 73 nucleotides long. The record is from the annotation of a GenBank genome assembly. Lineage: Eukaryota; Metazoa; Chordata; Actinopteri; Anguilliformes; Muraenidae.
GGCACGGAGGUGCAGUGGUUAGCACUGUUGCCUCGCAGCAAAAAGGCCAUGGGUUCGAUCCCAGCCUGGGGCC